CUUAUCGCGAGUGACCGAGGGACGGGCCCGAUGACGUCACGGCAACCGGCAGAAAGCUUGGUGCCAAAUCCCGCAGCGCAUGCACACCCCUCCGGGGAGCGCUGACAGAUAAG
Molecule: non-coding RNA, 113 nt
Filed under: bovine gut metagenome
Description: SAM riboswitch (S box leader)
Rfam family: SAM riboswitch aptamer (S box leader)
About the family: The SAM riboswitch is found upstream of a number of genes which code for proteins involved in methionine or cysteine biosynthesis in Gram-positive bacteria. The SAM riboswitch acts at the level of transcription termination control.
Source: RNAcentral